This 65-nucleotide microRNA precursor is filed under the name Echinops telfairi (small Madagascar hedgehog). RNAcentral describes it as "Ete-Mir-192-P4_pre stem-loop". Lineage: Eukaryota; Metazoa; Chordata; Mammalia; Afrosoricida; Tenrecidae. The record is from RNAcentral.
CUGACCUAUGAAUUGACAGCCAGUGCCUUGGGCUCCCCUCUGGCUGCCAAUACCAUAGGUCACAG